GACGAACGCUGGCGGCGUGCUUAACACAUGCAAGUCGAACGGAAAGGCCCUGCUUUUGUGGGGUGCUCGAGUGGCGAACGGGUGAGUAACACGUGAGUAACCUGCCCUUGACUUUGGGAUAACUUCAGGAAACUGGGGCUAAUACCGGAUAGGAGCUCCUGCUGCAUGGUGGGGGUUGGAAAGUUUCGGCGGUUGGGGAUGGACUCGCGGCUUAUCAGCUUGUUGGUGGGGUAGUGGCUUACCAAGGCUUUGACGGGUAGCCGGCCUGAGAGGGUGACCGGCCACAUUGGCACUGAGAUACGGCCCAGACUCCUACGGGAGGCAGCAGUGGGGAAUAUUGCACAAUGGGCGGAAGCCUGAUGCAGCAACGCCGCGUGCGGGAUAACGGCCUUCGGGUUGUAAACCGCUUUCGCCUGUGACGAAGCGUGAGUGACGGUAAUGGGUAAAGAAGCACCGGCUAACUACGUG
Molecule: ribosomal RNA, 468 nt
Filed under: uncultured bacterium
Lineage: Bacteria
Description: partial 16S ribosomal RNA
Rfam family: Bacterial small subunit ribosomal RNA
Source: RNAcentral